RNAcentral lists this non-coding RNA (65 nucleotides) under unclassified sequences. RNAcentral's name for it is "pemK RNA". It matches the Rfam family "pemK RNA". The record is from RNAcentral.
ACAAUGAUACUUCCGUAAUUCUCGGCCCGGUCAGAAAGCAGACGGGGUGGCUGAGAUGCCAAUGG